CAGUAGCCGCGGGAAAACGAAGGGGGCUAGCGUUGUUCGGAUUUACUGGGCGUAAAGGGCGCGUAGGCGGACUGAUAAGUCAGGGGUGAAAUCCCAAGGCUCAACCUUGGAACUGCCUUUGAUACUGUUUGUCUUGAGUUCGAGAGAGGUAAGUGGAACUGCGAGUGUAGAGGUGAAAUUCGUAGAUAUUCGCAAGAACACCAGUGGCGAAGGCGGCUUACUGGCUCGAAACUGACGCUGAGGCGCGAAAGCGUGGGGAGCAAACAGGAUUAGAUACCCCAGUAGUCCCUGUCUCUUAACA
This 301-nucleotide ribosomal RNA is filed under the name uncultured bacterium. RNAcentral describes it as "partial 16S ribosomal RNA". It matches the Rfam family "Bacterial small subunit ribosomal RNA", at positions 509 to 808 of the family's 1533-position model. The record is from RNAcentral.